Molecule: unclassified non-coding RNA, 1340 nt
Filed under: Hevea brasiliensis (rubber tree)
Lineage: Eukaryota; Viridiplantae; Streptophyta; Magnoliopsida; Malpighiales; Euphorbiaceae
Source: RNAcentral
GUUGAUCUUCAAAUUGUGACCAUACUUGAAAAGAAUCAAAACCACAGAGGAAAGAUUCUCACAAAUCACAACUUUUCUUUUUCUUUUACCCACUUCAGAAGUUGCAGGUCUUAUUUGCCUUCUGUGGCCAACUGUUGACCUGUGAUUAAGAAAAAGAACAAUACUUGCAUGGAUCAGGAUCUAUAUAAAUUACUGAGUGCACAAGAGCCCAUAUAUAUAUAAAUUGAUCCCUUCUGCUUCAGAAGAUUCAUAACAGAAGACCAGAUUUCAAGAACCCAAAAAAAAAAUGGCAGGUUUGUACGACAAGCAGGCAGCCAUUUAUGCCGACGCCAGGCCAACCUUUCCAAGUCAAUGGUUUUCCAUGCUGGCUGCUCUCACCCCUCACCACUCUUUAGCUUGGGAUGCCGGCACCGGCAACGGUCAGGCAGCUAUCAGCGUGGCAGAGCACUAUGAUCAAGUGAUUGCAACUGAUAUAAGUGAAGAGCAAUUAAAGCAUGGUAUAAAUCACCCUCGGGUUCGAUACUUGCAUACUCCAUCAUCAAUGUCAGAUGAUGAGCUGGUGUCCUUAAUCGGUGGUGAAAAUUCAGUUGAUCUAGUGACAGUCUCUGUAGCUGUGCAUUGGUUCGACCUGGAAAGAUUUUACUCUCAGGUGAAGCGUCUGCUACGAAAGCCAGGAGGUGUGAUUGCAGUUUGGACAUACAAUAUCAUCCAAGUUAAUUCAGAAUUUGAUCCUUUAAUGUGGGGAUUCUACGAGAAAACACUUGCUUUCCAGAAACCAAAUGUAAAAUAUGCUUUUGAUUGUUACAGGACACUUCCAUUCCCUUUUGAAAGUGUAGGUGUGGGAUGCGAGGGGCAACCUGAGACAUUGGAGAUGACAAAGGAGAUGUCGUUUCAGGGACUUCUGGGAUUGAUGAGAUCAUGGUCAGCUGUAAAUACAGCUAAGGAACAAGGUAUGGAUUUGUUGUGUGAAAAUGUUAUAAGGGAGUUUGAGAAGGCUUGGGGUGGCCGUGAAUUGGUCAGAACUGUCAUCUUCAAGACUUACAUGCUUGCAGGGAAAGUUAAGGUCUAAUUAAGUUUUCACUUUCAGUCUGAAAGCUGUAGCUCUAAUUCUUCUGAUUCAUCUGAUGGAUGGAAGCUAAAGUCUACUUGUUUCUUUUCCUUGAGCAAUAAUACAGAAUAAUUAAUGAUGUUUGGGUAAGCAGAGCAUGUAAGGAUGAUACUUGCCUUUGUUUUUGGUCUGAGCUUUUGAGGUGUAGCCAUACUUUCAAAGUGUAAUGGGCUUUGUCUUGAGUUAUGUACUGUUAUUUCCAUCAAUGAUAACUGCUCUUUUUUUAUUUAAA